RNAcentral lists this microRNA precursor (125 nucleotides) under Brassica oleracea var. oleracea. Its description in RNAcentral is "MIR9563 microRNA precursor family". It matches the Rfam family "MIR9563 microRNA precursor family". Lineage: Eukaryota; Viridiplantae; Streptophyta; Magnoliopsida; Brassicales; Brassicaceae. The record is from Rfam by way of RNAcentral.
GGAAUAUAAGAAUCCGUCUCUUAACUUUUAACUAAAAAAGCUAAGAACCGGUUCUUAAAUAAGAGUUUUAAGAGUCGGUUCUUAACAUUUUUAGUUAAAAGUUAAGAGACGGGUUAUUAUAUUCC